GCCGCCGCGGUAAUACGGAGGAUGCGAGCGUUAUCCGGAUUUAUUGGGUUUAAAGGGAGCGUAGGUGGUUUAUUAAGCAAGCUGUGAAAUACUGCCGCUCAACGGCAGCCGUGCAGUUUGAACUGGUAGACUUGAGUGUACAAGAGGAAAGUGGAAUUCGUGGUGUAGCGGUGAAAUGUUUAGAUAUCACGAAGAACUCCAAUUGCGUAGGCAGCUUUCUAGGGUACAACUGACACUGAGGCUCGAAAGUGCGGGUAUCGAACAGGAUUAGAUACCCC
This 278-nucleotide ribosomal RNA is filed under the name uncultured Christensenellaceae bacterium. RNAcentral describes it as "partial 16S ribosomal RNA". It matches the Rfam family "Bacterial small subunit ribosomal RNA", at positions 511 to 788 of the family's 1533-position model. The record is from RNAcentral. Lineage: Bacteria; Bacillati; Bacillota; Clostridia; Christensenellales; Christensenellaceae.